Molecule: long non-coding RNA, 211 nt
Filed under: Brassica napus (rape)
Lineage: Eukaryota; Viridiplantae; Streptophyta; Magnoliopsida; Brassicales; Brassicaceae
Description: long non-coding RNA (BNAP_LNC005247)
Source: RNAcentral
UGCAAGAAAUGAGGUUGGUAAGGGGGAUUGUCAUACAUGAUUUGCUAAGUUGUUGACUAUGUGAAUUUGGUUGCUGGACUAGGAUAUGAUAUAAUGUUCUUUUGAGAUUAGGAUUUCCUAAGGUGAUGAUUCUGAGUUUUAAAUUUGUGAGUCCCUGCUGUUUUCAAACCUCUUUCAGAGAGACUGCAUGUAUGUUUUGCUUGAGCACAAG